GGCAUCAUGUACGGCAACUGGGUGGCUCCGGCACUGGGAGUGCCGUGGAACAUCGGCCAGUUCGUCGUUGGCAUGAUACUG
RNAcentral lists this transfer RNA (81 nucleotides) under uncultured Eubacterium sp. Its description in RNAcentral is "tRNA-Pro(ggg)". Lineage: Bacteria; Bacillati; Bacillota; Clostridia; Eubacteriales; Eubacteriaceae. The record is from RNAcentral.